This 585-nucleotide long non-coding RNA is filed under the name Triticum aestivum (bread wheat). RNAcentral's name for it is "long non-coding RNA (TAES_LNC005747)". Lineage: Eukaryota; Viridiplantae; Streptophyta; Magnoliopsida; Poales; Poaceae. The record is from RNAcentral.
CCUCCUUUAGCAGCGUACGGUCGAUUACUCCUGAGGCCUGCAGGAUGGAGUUGGACAUGGAUGAACAUAGCCGCGGUCAGUUCUUCGCUUCAUCUGGUGAGCUCUAACAAAUUUUCUUCUUCCUUUGGUUGCGGUUGGAAGAAACUAAUGCAGUAAGAUUGUAGGAAGCGCACCUUAGCUAUGCACGGCUGGCUACCCGAGAUUGCGGCAGACCUUCUGCCUCUUCUCCGGCGGGCGUUGGUGGAUGGCCCGGCCGGCCGGCGACGGCAAGGGGGAAUAAAUAGCGUAUGGGUGCGAAGUUGUUGGAAAUCCUGGCGCGCCGCGAGAGACGCAAGUCAUGUGGGGAGCAGAGGAUGCCGAUUCCGAACGGAUCUUCCCUCUGCUGCAGCGUGGCCGUGGCGCUCGGUCCGAAUAUCCUCUUGUCCACGGCGCGGCAUCGUCAAAACUUACACGGAAGACAAUUCCAUGCAGGAAAAAUACUACGUGGAUUCUGAAUGGCGCCAACCGAGCGAUUAAGACGCAAACAAAGUACUAGAAAACUUGCUGGUGGAACUACGGAACGUCUUGCGACCGCACCAGUUUCUG